RNAcentral lists this unclassified non-coding RNA (263 nucleotides) under Hevea brasiliensis (rubber tree). Lineage: Eukaryota; Viridiplantae; Streptophyta; Magnoliopsida; Malpighiales; Euphorbiaceae. The record is from RNAcentral.
CUCCGUCGCAACCAAACACUCGUCUUUCUGGCUUUCGGGUUUGGUGUUUGAAGUGGCGUCUUUUAGCCUGGUGAAAGGAGAGAACCAUUUAGCACGCAUGUACUCUGCUGUUCUCCAAGGAGGAAAGUGCAUGCCUUUCUUCUUCAAACUCUGCUUAGCCGCCUCCGACACGAUUGAUACAAUCUGACCCAGCCGAUCAGAUUUCCCGACGAAGAUGGACGGUAGUGAUUGCAGGAUUGCUUUGUAGGCACCGGUCGAUCGAG